AUUGAACGCUGGCGGCAGGCCUAACACAUGCAAGUCGAACGGUAACAGGAAGAAGCUUGCUUCUUUGCUGACGAGUGGCGGACGGGUGAGUAAUGUCUGGGAAACUGCCUGAUGGAGGGGGAUAACUACUGGAAACGGUAGCUAAUACCGCAUAACGUCGCAAGACCAAAAAGGGGGACCCUCGGGCCUCUUGCCAUCGGAUGUGCCCAGAUGGGAUUAGCUAGUAGGUGGGGUAACGGCUCACCUAGGCGACGAUCCCUAGCUGGUCUGAGAGGAUGACCAGCCACACUGGAACUGAGACACGGUCCAGACUCCUACGGGAGGCAGCAGUGGGGAAUAUUGCACAAUGGGCGCAAGCCUGAUGCAGCCAUGCCGCGUGUAUGAAGAAGGCCUUCGGGUUGUAAAGUACUUUCAGCGGGGAGGAAGGGAGUAAAGUUAAUACCUUUGCUCAUUGACGUUACCCGCAGAAGAAGCACCGGCUAACUCCGUG
RNAcentral lists this ribosomal RNA (490 nucleotides) under uncultured bacterium. RNAcentral's name for it is "partial 16S ribosomal RNA". It matches the Rfam family "Bacterial small subunit ribosomal RNA", at positions 30 to 507 of the family's 1533-position model. The record is from RNAcentral.